UGUUGGUGGAUUGAUCGUCUACACGAGGAUUAAACAGAAGACAAAAAUAGACAAGAGAAGUACGGACAAGAGUAAACAAGAUACUUACAUGGACUUCACGGCAGAUAGGCCAACUGCUGGCAAUGAAAACCAGACUUACCAAGAUCUACAAUAUAGAGAAGAAGAAACAGCUUAUGUUAAUGUGAAGUCGGGAAAGAGAUAAAAAUGCAAAGAGGAGCAGUAUCUGAUUGGAGUUAAUGCGUGUUGCUUGAACAAGGAUCAUGAUAAUCCAUGCAAAAUUUAAUCAAUAAUGAUCGUACAGCAACGAAUCAAAGAAUUGUUUAGCUCUGUCCACGUUAUCAAUUUUGUGAUUUUUCAAUGAAGCCUCCGUGGACUAAUGGUUAUGACGCUCGCCUUGACAGCGAGAGGU
Molecule: long non-coding RNA, 409 nt
Organism: Anneissia japonica
Lineage: Eukaryota; Metazoa; Echinodermata; Crinoidea; Comatulida; Comatulidae
Exons: 3
Source: RefSeq, a predicted model, not a curated record